AUUGAACGCUGGCGGCAGGCUUAACACAUGCAAGUCGAGCGAGCGGCGGACGGGUGAGUAAUGUCUGGGAAACUGCCUGAUGGAGGGGGAUAACUACUGGAAACGGUAGCUAAUACCGCAUACCAUCAGAUGAACCCAUAGGGGAUUAGCUUGUAGGUGAGGUAACGGCUCACCUAGGGGACUAUCCCUUGCUGGUCUGAGAGGAUGAUAGGCCACCCUGGGACUGAGACACGGCCCAAACUCCUACGGGAGGCAGCAGUGGGGAAUAUUGCACAAUGGGCGCAAGCCUGAUGCAGCCAUGCCGCGUGUAUGAAGAAGGCCUUAGGGUUGUAAAGUACUUUCAGCGGGGAGGCGUUACCCGCAGAAGAAGCACCGGCUAACUCCGUGCCAGCCGCCGCGGUAAUAC
This 406-nucleotide ribosomal RNA is filed under the name uncultured bacterium. Its description in RNAcentral is "partial 16S ribosomal RNA". It matches the Rfam family "Bacterial small subunit ribosomal RNA", at positions 30 to 526 of the family's 1533-position model. The record is from RNAcentral.